AACGAACGCUGGCGGCAUGCCUAACACAUGCAAGUCGAACGAGACCUUCGGGUCUAGUGGCGCACGGGUGCGUAACGCGUGGGAACCUGCCCUUAGGUUCGGAAUAACUCCCCGAAAGGGGUGCUAAUACCGGAUAAUGUCUUCGGACCAAAGAUUUAUCGCCUUUGGAUGGGCCCGCGUUGGAUUAGCUAGUUGGUAGGGUAAAAGCCUACCAAGGCGACGAUCCAUAGCUGGUCUGAGAGGAUGAUCAGCCACACUGGGACUGAGGCACGGCCCAGACUACUACGGGAGGCAGCAGUGGGGAAUAUUGGACAAUGGGCGAAAGCCUGAUCCAGCAAUGCCGCGUGAGUGAUGAAGGCCUUAGGGUUGUAAAGCUCUUUUACCCGGGAUGAUAGUGACAGUACCGGGAGAAUAAGCUCCGGCUAACUCCGUG
RNAcentral lists this ribosomal RNA (433 nucleotides) under uncultured bacterium. Its description in RNAcentral is "partial 16S ribosomal RNA". It matches the Rfam family "Bacterial small subunit ribosomal RNA", at positions 29 to 507 of the family's 1533-position model. The record is from RNAcentral.